CGGAACCCUCUUUUCUGUCUUAUGGUUGGGCUCCACUAUCGGGGUUCGGCAAAUGAUUCGUGAUAUCGCGAAUUGUGUGUUCCACACAAUCGCGCUAGC
Maniola jurtina (meadow brown) is the source of this 99-nucleotide long non-coding RNA. RefSeq lists it as uncharacterized. The transcript is spliced from 3 exons. The record is from RefSeq and is a predicted model, not a curated record. NCBI's taxonomy places the organism in Eukaryota, Metazoa, Arthropoda, Insecta, Lepidoptera, Nymphalidae.